GAGAUAAAGCUAAAUGAAGCCAUGUAUUAGACUGUUGGUGAUAUUCAGAAGAAAAAGAACCAAAUUUCUUAGCUUUCCCGAGUUUACAUUAUCAGAUAGAAGAAUACCAGAGGAAGUGAGAGAGAAAAGGAAAGAGAGCCUCUAGAAAGUUGAGAGAGAGAGCAAAAAACCCAAGGACUAUUCGACAGUUUUUCUCUUAAGCGUGUAAAUAAAGGAAAAGAAAAAAAAAAUGAGGUGUUUUAUGAUAAACUUUUAUGGGGUCAUUACUCCUUACGCGCUGGGGUGAGGUGGAGUGGGGGUG
This 301-nucleotide long non-coding RNA is filed under the name Panax ginseng (ginseng). Its description in RNAcentral is "long non-coding RNA (PGIN_LNC017508)". Lineage: Eukaryota; Viridiplantae; Streptophyta; Magnoliopsida; Apiales; Araliaceae. The record is from RNAcentral.